AACGAACGCUGGCGGCGUGCCUAAGACAUGCAAGUCGUGCGGAAAGGCUCCUUCGGGAGUACUCGAGCGGCGCACGGGUGAGUAACACGUGGGUAAUCUACCUGAGGGUCUGGGAUAACUCCGGGAAACUGGGGCUAAUACCGGAUGAGACCACGGCGUCUUCGGAUGCAGCGGUCAAAGAUGGCCUCUCCUUGGAAGCUAUCGCCCGCAGAUGAGCCCGCGUCCCAUUAGCUAGUUGGCGGGGUAACGGCCCACCAAGGCGACGAUGGGUAGCUGGUCUGAGAGGAUGAUCAGCCACACUGGAACUGAGACACGGUCCAGACUCCUACGGGAGGCAGCAGUCGGGAAUUUUGGGCAAUGGGCGAAAGCCUGACCCAGCAACGCCGCGUGAGGGAUGAAGGCCUUCGGGUCGUAAACCUCUGUCGGGAGGGACGAAAGGUCGGCGGUCGAAUAGGCCGAAGGCUUGACGGUACCUCUAGAGGAAGCGCCGGCUAACUCCGUGC
This 503-nucleotide ribosomal RNA is filed under the name uncultured bacterium. Its description in RNAcentral is "bacterial SSU rRNA". It matches the Rfam family "Bacterial small subunit ribosomal RNA", at positions 28 to 508 of the family's 1533-position model. The record is from RNAcentral.